Molecule: small nuclear RNA, 105 nt
Filed under: Sus scrofa (pig)
Lineage: Eukaryota; Metazoa; Chordata; Mammalia; Artiodactyla; Suidae
Source: RNAcentral
GUGCUAGCUUUGGCAGCACCUAUACUAAAACUGGAAUGAAACAGAAGAUUAGCAUGGCCCCUGCGCAUGGAUGACACGCAAGUUCAUGAAGCGUUCCAUAUUAAA